Molecule: ribosomal RNA, 955 nt
Filed under: Cibicidoides dispars
Lineage: Eukaryota; Foraminifera; Rotaliida; Anomalinidae
Description: SSU rRNA
Rfam family: Eukaryotic small subunit ribosomal RNA
Source: RNAcentral
GGCACCACAAGAACGCGUGGAGCAUGUGGCUUAAUUUGACUCAACGCGGGAAAUCUUACCGGGUCCGGACACACUGAGGAUUGACAGGCAAUAUUAAUAUUAUUUUAUUAUAUGUAUUAUGUUAAAUAUGCUAGUCCUUUCAUGAUUAUGUGAUAGGUGGUGCAUGGCCGUUCUUAGUUCGUGGAGUGAUCUGUCUGCUUAAUUGCGUUUCACUAAGGGCCUAUAAAUUUACGUAUGUUGCAUCGCACUUUGACCCCUUUCUUAAUUGAAAGCGCGUGUCUUAGUUUCCGCUUUGCUCAUACAAUUAGGUCCUGAAAGCAACGAACGUGACCGCAACCUCUUGUUGCCUUUAUACCAAACAUGUUUAUUCAUUUUUUAAUGUUCAUUCAUGAAAAAAGGCUUUUUAAACUAGAGGGACCGCUGUUACUUUCUUAAACCAGAGGAAGGUUGCGGCAAUAACAGGUCUGUGAUGCCCUUAGAUGUUCCGGGCUGCACACGUGCUACAAUGAUUAUUGCAGUGAGCAUCUCAUUUUUACACACCGCAUGCGCGAGUCCAUUUAUUCACCUUCGGGUGUUUUAAAUGUGUACCUCUGCGCGCGGUAAAGCCUGCUUCGAGAGCAAGUGGGUAAUCAAUUAGAAGUAAUGAUUUCCUUUUUUUUAGCACACAUAUAUACGGCGUCUAUGCCCGGGUUACCUUGUUGUAGCUUUUGUCCGUAUAGAUGUUUUUUCCGUAUGUGCGAUUGUCAAUUCAUGGUGGGGACAGACCAUUGUUAAUUGUUGGUCUCGGUCUUACCUAGGAAUGCCUUGUACGGGUCUUUGGUUCAACAAACCACCCGGAAUACGUCCCUGCCCUUUGUACACACCGCCCGUCGCUCUUACCGAUGGACUUCUCUGUGAGUUGAGGGACUGGGAACGCAGGAAUUUAUUUCUGCACACCUAUGGAAACUUAAACGAA